RNAcentral lists this ribosomal RNA (253 nucleotides) under uncultured bacterium. RNAcentral's name for it is "partial 16S ribosomal RNA". It matches the Rfam family "Bacterial small subunit ribosomal RNA", at positions 524 to 776 of the family's 1533-position model. The record is from RNAcentral.
UACGGAGGGAGCUAGCGUUGUUCGGAAUUACUGGGCGUAAAGCGCGCGUAGGCGGCUUUGCAAGUUAGAGGUGAAAGCCCGGAGCUCAACUUCGGAAUUGCCUUUAAAACUGCAUCGCUUGAAUCCGGGAGAGGUGAGUGGAAUUCCGAGUGCAGAGGUGAAAUUCGUAGAUAUUCGGAAGAACACCAGUGGCGAAGGCGGCUCACUGGACCGGCAUUGACGCUGAGGUGCGAAAGCGUGGGGAGCAAACAGG